UUUCCGUAGGUGAACCUGCGGAAGGAUCAUUAUUGUAUAACCGAGGUGCGAGGGCUGUCGCUGACCCGACGGGUCGUGCACGCCCGAGUGCCCUCACACACAUCCAUCUCACCCCUAUGUGCACCACCGCGUGGGUCCCCCUUUGGCUUGUUCGGAGGGGGGCUUACGUUUUCACACAAACUUUGUAUGCAGUGUAGAAUGUAUUUUUUGUUUUUGCGAUCACGCAAUCAAUACAACUUUCAACAACGGAUCUCUUGGCUCUC
This 263-nucleotide unclassified non-coding RNA is filed under the name plant metagenome. RNAcentral's name for it is "partial contains small subunit ribosomal RNA, internal transcribed spacer 1, and 5.8S ribosomal RNA". The record is from RNAcentral.